ACAUUGCGGCAGCUACACAUGCAAGUCGAGCGGAACGAGUUAUCUGAACCUUCGGGGAACGAUAACGGCGUCGAGCGGCGGACGGGUGAGUAAUGCCUAGGAAAUUGCCCUGAUGUGGGGGAUAACCAUUGGAAACGAUGGCUAAUACCGCAUAAUGCCUUCGGGCCAAAGAGGGGGACCUUCGGGCCUCUCGCGUCAGGAUAUGCCUAGGUGGGAUUAGCUAGUUGGUGAGGUAAGGGCUCACCAAGGCGACGAUCCCUAGCUGGUCUGAGAGGAUGAUCAGCCACACUGGAACUGAGACACGGUCCAGACUCCUACGGGAGGCAGCAGUGGGGAAUAUUGCACAAUGGGCGCAAGCCUGAUGCAGCCAUGCCGCGUGUGUGAAGAAGGCCUUCGGGUUGUAAAGCACUUUCAGUCGUGAGGAAGGUGGUAGUGUUAAUAGCACUAUCAUUUGACGUUAGCGACAGAAGAAGCACCGGCUAACUCCGUGCCAGCAGCCGCGGUAAUACGGAGGGUGCGAGCGUUAAUCGGAAUUACUGGGCGUAAAGCGCAUGCAGGUGGUUUGUUAAGUCAGAUGUGAAAGCCCGGGGCUCAACCUCGGAAUUGCAUUUGAAACUGGCAGACUAGAGUACUGUAGAGGGGGGUAGAAUUUCAGGUGUAGCGCUGAAAUGCGUAGAGAUCUGAAGGAAUAUCGGUGGCGAAAGCGGCCCCCUGGACAGAUACUGACACUCAGAUGCUAAAUCAUGGGGAGCAAACAUGAUUAUAUACCCUGGCAGUCCACGCCGCAGACGAUGUCUACUUGGAUGUUGUGACCUAUGAACCUAGCCUUUCCCGAGCUCACACGUUUAAGUAAAGAGCCUAGGGAAUUACGGUCGCUAGAUUAAAAACUCUACUCGAUUUGACGGGGGGUCCCGCAGACGCGGGGGGAGGACGGGGGUUUAAUUUCGAUGCG
RNAcentral lists this ribosomal RNA (952 nucleotides) under marine bacterium 23hu15. RNAcentral's name for it is "bacterial SSU rRNA". It matches the Rfam family "Bacterial small subunit ribosomal RNA", at positions 33 to 958 of the family's 1533-position model. The record is from RNAcentral.